UCAAAAGUGAAGAUACUGUAAUAUCCCAGUGAAGAUGGUUUGCUCAACCUGCUGGGGUAUCUGGAAUGAAGCUCGGGGCUAAGAGAAAGGAUACUUUCUUACGGCUGGCCGCAUCGAAGUAGUAAUACUAGAUGAAGGGUGCAAUUCCUGAAAGUAACAGAUGGCACACAUCAUUGUGCAAUAUAGUCCAGAAUACAUAUCGGUGGAAGAAUAGAGGGUUACUUGAAUAAAGUGCCUGAAUCUUAGUUAGGUAUAUAUUGGCGUUAUAUAUAAACCUAAGAAUAGCCAAUAAUCCACUCUGUCGUGAAGCGAAGAAAUUCGUGUAUAAGAUAUGGAAGAAGAUUCUCUUAGUAGCCUAGAGACAGGUUCUGAGUCAGGAAAAAAUAAGAUCACAGAACAAAUGCUGAAGAGUUGGGUGAAAAGUGUGGGUAAUCAAUCCCACCAGAGCUUCGUGAUGAAAGUCUAGGGAAGAGAUGCAGGGAAUUGCUAACCUUGCACAGCCUCUUUUCUCUCUGUAGGAUAACAAUAUUUUUGCAAUGAUGAUGUAGGGUGAAUAAAAGCCCAUUACAGUGUUUUCACUUUU
The submitters of this non-coding RNA (583 nucleotides) gave its source as unclassified sequences. The record is from Rfam.